GAGCGCGGCCCAGAGCGGCCGCCGGUUUCGCCCUCUCCCGCCCGGGAGGGCACCGCGCGCCGCCGGUGUCCCCGCUGGCGGUUGUCCCGAGGAGACGGGGGCGGGGCCGCCCCGGGCGGGACUCGGGGCUGCGGACACACAGGGGCCGGGCUCGGCGGGCCCAGGGCCGGCAGCCGCUGUCGGUGGCUUCAGCCCGCGGCCCAGCGCGACACCGGGCCCGACACCGGCCGAGCCGGUGACGUGAGGUCGGUGCCGGCAUCACGAGCUACAACCGGCCUUUUUUGUUGUUGUUGUUGUUGUUGAAGCCAAGCAGCUAGCUCAAUGCGUAGGCAGGAAGCGAUACGGAGAGAGCUGAGCUCCCGGAACGGCCCGAUGCCGUCCUCCGUGAUGCUCCCUGGUUUUGCCUACACAAGCACGACCCGUAUGGUGUGACGUGCUUGGAAAACAACCUAAAAAAGACUGGCCAUGGACAACCUGCACAGAAAGACGCUGCCUGCGGGGCCCAGCGCGUUGGGAAUCAUUGGGAGGACUAGAUCCUCCCAACAGCUUCCAUAGAAAGGCGAGAACGUGCUUCUUGGAUCUGCGGCGGCCGCAGAGCUGGAACACACCGGCAGAAUCCAAAGCAACUCUGCGAGACGGAAAAGAUCUGCGAGAAGGACGAAAGGGACAUGAGAUGGAGAAAGCAGGGAAGACAAGUUCAAGAAGCAGAGCCAUCUCUCUGCAUCCAAGAAGCUGGUGGCACAAACAACAAGCCUGGCUAGAGUGAACUCCCAUUUCAAGCACAGUUGGCUACCCGCUGGCUUCAAAAGAGCAGACUAUUUGUUAAUGAUAUAAAAUACAGCAACCAUUUAAGAUGCAGCAAGGCAAGGCUACAGGGCUGGGGUUUAUGAACGAUGCCAGAAGCUACACAGCAGUGUUAAAAACUGUGAAAAGGCUGUUAAAUGGCAGGAGUUAGCCAUGUGCUGCUCCUGGAAGGCCUUUUCCCUCCAACACCCCUCCAUCAUGCCGUUGGUGUGAUGCGUUUGUAAAGGUGGAGAGAGGGGGAUUUGCCCUGCGGGAGAAGCCUCACAGGCUGGCCACAGAACAUGAGGGCAGUCUGAUCUGGUCUCACAGAUCCCAUGUUCCUAGCCUGACACUGAGCUUCCAUCAGCAAGCAGACAUUCAGGUCCUUCAACAGAAGUUAAUCCCCUUCUACCUUCCUAAUUUGUAGGAGUGAAAGAAGUCCAGCGGAGUCAAGCUGGAAAGCACAAACAGGGAUGAAAACAACCAGUUUGCAUACUGAUCUUUGUAUAAUGACCCCCCCCACCCUCACAGCUCACUCUUCCCCAAAUAAAGACACAUUGUUCAAUGGCA
Molecule: long non-coding RNA, 1353 nt
Organism: Tyto alba (common barn owl)
Lineage: Eukaryota; Metazoa; Chordata; Aves; Strigiformes; Tytonidae
Exons: 2
Source: RefSeq, a predicted model, not a curated record